AAAUGACGUGCUUGCCGGGCACGGGGGCUCAACCUGUGAUCCCAGCACUGUGGGAGGCCGAGGUGGGUGGAUCACCUGAGGUCAGGAGUUCGAGACCAGCCUGGUCAACAUGGUGAAACCCCGUCUCUACUAAA
This is a long non-coding RNA of Sapajus apella (tufted capuchin), 134 nucleotides long. RefSeq lists it as uncharacterized. The record is from RefSeq and is a predicted model, not a curated record. The transcript is spliced from 3 exons. NCBI's taxonomy places the organism in Eukaryota, Metazoa, Chordata, Mammalia, Primates, Cebidae.